GAAAAAAAAAAAAAAAAGACAAGAUUUCAACAAAAGUCCACCUAAUUCCUUAUAUAAUCCUUCAUAAUUAUGCAGAUCCCAUUAUAUUGACUUAUCCUUUUACAUGACUAGCUCCCUCUCUAAAUGGGGAGAUCUUAGAGGGCAGAGGCUGGGUCUUAUUGAUUUAUGGAUUCUCAAUGCAUGACCCAAUGCUUGGUGCAUAGUGAGUGAUGGGUUGAUGGAUAAUUACAAGUAACUGAACGUUGUCUAACUUCUCCAUGGGUGGGAAAUGGGAGAGAAUAAGGGAAGAAAUUCAGUCCUGGAGAAGCUUUCAGUAGUCUCAUAGGAAACAUCUGUAGGUCUAAAGGGGAAAACCAGUGUCUGCAAUUGACUAGAAUGCACUGCUAGGGCAGGGACUGCUGGGGCAGGGAAACUACUGGGGAAGGGGCUGCUAGGUGCUAUUGUUAUUGAUAAUAAUAAAUGGCAUUUACCAAAACAAAAACUAAUAUGUUCCUGAAUCUGCGCUAAGUGCCUUUAUUUAUGUGACCUUAUAUAAUUCCCACAAGAACUCCAUGUAGUUCUUGAAGUUCAUGACUAAUAAUGAACUAUGACUGUGCCCUUUAUAUAGAUUGGAAAAUUGAAGCUGGAAAGUGAAGGAGCCUUUGAAGAGCAGAAGCAGAAGGCUUCCAGUUCAGAUCUGUCUCUCUGCAGAGCUCUCCUUUGUUCUAGCCAGUUUCCAUCUUCUUGGUGUUGCUAAGACAAGCUGUUACUAAGAGGAGGCUAUCCUGACUGACGGCUCAUGCUGGUUUGAGGGUCCUUCUCUUAUUCUGCAGGAAAAGAUACAGAAACAAUGGGAAACACCCCUACAGAGCUCGAGCUUGAGGAUGUGAGCAUCGAUGAGCUUUCCUUUUCUUGGCAAGGGGUUUGGUCUUCAGCUAAAUGUGUGUUUUUGCUGAUUUUAGGGGGAUUCUAAAGCAGCACUGGUUCAUCUAGCUGGAAGUAGCCUCAGCCAAGGCCAUGCUCAUCCAAGAUCAACUGCAGAGGAGGACGAGGGAAAUUUUAUAUGGGAACAAUUAUCUGAAAAAUAGUCAUUCAUCGAUUCAAGCUCUGACAUCUUUCGGUUCUGCCAUUCCCCCAGAGAAUGUCCUCAUUUGUAUGGUCAAGGCUGGGUUGCAGAGAAGUCCAUGUUGCAGCUCAUGGAAAAAAAGAACCAAAGGGACUCAAGAACACUGGCUUAUGUCUUAGAUUGGAGAUGACCUGGAAAGUCAACUUUCACCCAUAACCCAUUGGCCUAAAGUAAGUCCCAGAGUCAACUUGAAUUGCAAGGGAUCCGGAGUAAUGCUGUUUAUACCUGGAGUGCUGGGGACCCAGCUUAAACUCUACCACCAUAGAAGACAGGGAAGAUAGAUUUUGAUGGAUGACCAGAAGUUUCUGUUACAUGUACAACAGAUUAAAAAUAUAUAUAUUGCCAGCUGGGUGUGGUGGCUCAUGCCUGUAAUCCCAGAACUUUGGGAGUCCAA
Molecule: long non-coding RNA, 1499 nt
Filed under: Homo sapiens (human)
Lineage: Eukaryota; Metazoa; Chordata; Mammalia; Primates; Hominidae
Description: HSALNT0387006
Source: RNAcentral